Molecule: ribosomal RNA, 250 nt
Filed under: uncultured bacterium
Lineage: Bacteria
Description: partial 16S ribosomal RNA
Rfam family: Bacterial small subunit ribosomal RNA
Source: RNAcentral
UAGGGAAUAUUGGGCAAUGGGCGCAAGCCUGACCCAGCCAUGCCGCGUGCAGGAAGAAGGCGUUAUGCGUUGUAAACUGCUUUUAUACAGGAAGAAAAAGGCCAUGCGUGGCAAACUGACGGUACUGUAUGAAUAAGCACCGGCUAACUCCGUGCCAGCAGCCGCGGUAAUACGGAGGGUGCAAGCGUUGUCCGGAUUUAUUGGGUUUAAAGGGUGCGUAGGCGGUUUUUUAAGUCAGCGGUGAAAGACU